AUGAAACUUUAACAGAACCCUUCGGGGCGAAGAUAAAGUGGAUUAGCGGCGGACGGGUGAGUAACACGUGAGUAACCUGCCUUAGACAUUGGGAUAGCCUCGGGAAACCGGGAUUAAUACCAAAUAAAAUCAUAAUGACACAUGUCAUAACGAUCAAAACUCCGGUGGUCUAAGAUGGACUCGCGUCCCAUUAGCUAGUUGGUAGAGUAAAAGCCUACCAAGGCGACGAUGGGUAGCCGGCCUGAGAGGGUGAACGGCCACAUUGGAACUGAGAAACGGUCCAAACUCCUACGGGAGGCAGCAGUGGGGAAUAUUGCACAAUGGAGGGAACUCUGAUGCAGCGACGCCGCGUGAACGAAGAAGGCUUUCGAGUCGUAAAGUUCUUUUAUAUGGGAAGAUAAUGACGGUACCAUAAGAAAAAGCCCCGGCUAACUACGUGCCAGCAGCCGCGGUAAUACGUAGGGGGCUAGCGUUGUCCGGAAUCACUGGGCGUAAAGGGUUCGCAGGCGGAAAUGCAAGUCAGAUGUAAAAGGCAGUAGCUUAACUACUGUAAGCAUUUGAAACUGCAUAUCUUGAGAAGAGUAGAGGUAAGUGGAAUUUUUAGUGUAGCGGUGAAAUGCGUAGAUAUUAAAAAGAAUACCGGUGGCGAAGGCGACUUACUGGGC
This 665-nucleotide ribosomal RNA is filed under the name uncultured Eubacteriales bacterium. RNAcentral describes it as "bacterial SSU rRNA". It matches the Rfam family "Bacterial small subunit ribosomal RNA", at positions 55 to 734 of the family's 1533-position model. Lineage: Bacteria; Bacillati; Bacillota; Clostridia; Eubacteriales. The record is from RNAcentral.